This 465-nucleotide ribosomal RNA is filed under the name uncultured bacterium. RNAcentral describes it as "partial 16S ribosomal RNA". It matches the Rfam family "Bacterial small subunit ribosomal RNA", at positions 338 to 795 of the family's 1533-position model. The record is from RNAcentral.
CCUACGGGAGGCAGCAGUAGGGAAUCUUCCACAAUGGGCGAAAGCCUGAUGGAGCAACGCCGCGUGGGUGAAGAAGGUCUUCGGAUCGUAAAACCCUGUUGUCAGAGAAGAAAGUGCGUGAGAGUAACUGUUCACGUUUCGACGGUAUCUAACCAGAAAGCCACGGCUAACUACGUGCCAGCAGGCGCGGUAAUACGUAGGUGGCAAGAGUUAUCCGGAUUUAUUGGGCGUAAAGGGAACGCAGGCGGGCUUUUAAGUCUGAUGUGAAAGCCCGCGGCUUAACCGGAGUAGUGCAUUGGAAACUGGGGAACUUGAGUGCAGGAGAGGAGAGUGGAACUCCAGGUGUAGCGGUGAAAUGCGUAGAGAUAUGGAAGAACACCAGUGGCGAAGGCGGCUUUCUGGUCUGUAACUGACGCUGAGGUUCGAAAGCGUGGGUAGCAAACAGGAUUAGAUACCCUUGUAGUC